UCCUACGGGGGGCAGCAGUGGGGAAUAUUGGGCAAUGGAGGAAACUCUUACCCAGCAAUGCCGCGUGAAUGAAGAAGGUCUUCGGAUUGUAAAGUUCUUUAAUUGGGGACGAAAAAAAUGACGGUACCCAAGGAAUAAGCCCCGGCUAACUACGUGCCAGCAGCCGCGGUAAUACGGAGGAUGCGAGCGUUAUCCGGAUUUAUUGGGUUUAAAGGGUGCGUAGGCGGACUGGAAAGUCAGCGGUAAAAUCGAGAGGCUCAACCUCUUUCCGCCGUUGAAACUGUCGGUCUUGAGUGGGCGAGAAG
This 305-nucleotide ribosomal RNA is filed under the name uncultured bacterium. RNAcentral describes it as "bacterial SSU rRNA". It matches the Rfam family "Bacterial small subunit ribosomal RNA", at positions 337 to 657 of the family's 1533-position model. The record is from RNAcentral.